GGCCCGCACAAGCGGUGGAGCAUGUGGUUUAAUUCGAUGAUACGCGAGGAACCUUACCAGGGCUUAAAUGGAAAAUGACAGGGGCAGAGACGCCCCUUCUUCGGACAUUUUCAAGGUGCUGCAUGGUUGUCGUCAGCUCGUGCCGUGAGGUGUCAGGUUAAGUCCUAUAACGAGCGCAACCCUACCGUUAGUUGCCAGCGAGUAAUGUCGGGGACUCUAACGGAACUGCCGGUGCAAACCGUGAGGAAGGUGGGGACGACGUCAAAUCAUCACGGCCCUUACGUCCUGGGCCACACACGUGCUACAAUGGUAGGUACAGAGGGAAGCCACCCCCGCGAGGGGAGCGGAUCUAUAAAACUAUGCUCAGUUCGGA
This 373-nucleotide ribosomal RNA is filed under the name uncultured bacterium. Its description in RNAcentral is "bacterial SSU rRNA". It matches the Rfam family "Bacterial small subunit ribosomal RNA", at positions 918 to 1297 of the family's 1533-position model. The record is from RNAcentral.